RNAcentral lists this ribosomal RNA (462 nucleotides) under uncultured bacterium. RNAcentral's name for it is "partial 16S ribosomal RNA". It matches the Rfam family "Bacterial small subunit ribosomal RNA", at positions 28 to 507 of the family's 1533-position model. The record is from RNAcentral.
GAUGAACGCUGACAGCAUGCUUAACACAUGCAAGUCAUUCGCGAAGGUGCGCUUGCGCAGGCUAGCCAGGGCGGACGGGUGAGUAACGCGUCAGGAACUUGCCCUGCAGACAGGGAUAACAAACGGAAACGACUGAUAACACCUGGUAUUAUCAGGCUGUGGCAUGCGGGCCUGAUGAAAGGAGACGCUGCAGGAGAGCCUUGCGUCCUAUUAGCUAGUUGGUGGGGUAACGGCCCACCAAGGCGAUGAUAGGUAGCCGGCCUGAGAGGGUGAACGGCCACAAGGGGACUGAGAUACGGCAGUUACUCCUACGGGAGGCAGCAGUGGGGAAUAUUGGACUAUGGGGGCAACUGUGAUCCAGCAAUUCUGUGUGCACGAAGAAGGUUUUCGGAUUGUAAAGUGCUUUCAGCAGAGAAGAAGAAAGUGACGGUACCGGCAGAAGAAGCGACGGCUAAAUACGUG